GGGCACAUGGUGUAGCUGGUUAUCACGCCCGCUUUGCAUUAUAACAAAAAUCUCGUUCUACGCUGCGGGUGGUCCUCGGUUCAAUUCCGGGUGUGUCCA
Molecule: non-coding RNA, 99 nt
Organism: Tricholoma furcatifolium
Lineage: Eukaryota; Fungi; Basidiomycota; Agaricomycetes; Agaricales; Tricholomataceae
Source: the annotation of a GenBank genome assembly